AUUGAACGCUGGCGGCAGGCCUAACACAUGCAAGUCGAACGGUAACAGGAAGCAGCUUGCUGCUUCGCUGACGAGUGGCGGACGGGUGAGUAAUGUCUGGGAAGCUGCCUGAUGGAGGGGGAUAACUACUGGAAACGGUAGCUAAUACCGCAUAAUGUCGCAAGACCAAAGAGGGGGACCUUCGGGCCUCUUGCCAUCGGAUGUGCCCAGAUGGGAUUAGCUUGUUGGUGGGGUAACGGCUCACCAAGGCGACGAUCCCUAGCUGGUCUGAGAGGAUGACGAAGCACAGUGGAACUUAGACACGGGGCAGACUCCUGGGGGAGGCAGGAGUGGGGAAAAGAGGACGACUGGCGGGAGGCUUAUUCAGCCAUGCGGCGAGUAUGAAAAAAGCCUUAGGGUUUUAGAGUACUUUCAGCGGGGGGGAAGGGAGCAAAGUUUAUCCCUGUGCUCACAGACGUGGACCGCAAAAGAAGCACCGGCCAACUCCGUG
RNAcentral lists this ribosomal RNA (490 nucleotides) under uncultured bacterium. RNAcentral's name for it is "partial 16S ribosomal RNA". It matches the Rfam family "Bacterial small subunit ribosomal RNA", at positions 29 to 507 of the family's 1533-position model. The record is from RNAcentral.